AGAGUUUGAUCCUGGCUCAGGAUGAACGCUGGCGGCGUGCUUAACACAUGCAAGUCGAACGGGGUGCCUUAGAAAGAGGAUUCGUCCAAUUGAUAAGGUUACCUAGUGGCGGACGGGUGAGUAACGCGUGAGUAACCUGCCCUGGAGUGGGGAAUAACAGCUGGAAACAGCUGCUAAUACCGCAUAAUGCAGUUGGGUCGCAUGGCUCUGACUGCCAAAGAUUUAUCGCUCUGGGAUGGACUCGCGUCUGAUUAGCUAGUUGGUGGGGUAACGGCCCACCAAGGCGACGAUCAGUAGCCGGACUGAGAGGUUGGCCGGCCACAUUGGGACUGAGACACGGCCCAAACUCCUACGGGAGGCAGCAGUGGGGAAUAUUGCACAAUGGGGGAAACCCUGAUGCAGCGACGCCGCGUGAGUGAAGAAGUAAUUCGUUAUGUAAAGCUCUAUCAGCAGGGAAGAAAAUGACGGUACCUGAGUAAGAAGCCCCGGCUAACUACGUGCCAGCAGCCGCGGUAAUACGUAGGGGGCAAGCGUUAUCCGGAUUUACUGGGUGUAAAGGGAGCGUAGACGGCAGUGCAAGUCUGGAGUGAAAGGCGGGGGCUCAACCCCCGGACUGCUCUGGAAACUGUACGGCUGGAGUGCAGGAGAGGUAAGUGGAAUUCCUAGUGUAGCGGUGAAAUGCGUAGAUAUUAGGAGGAACACCAGUGGCGAAGGCGGCUUACUGGACUGUAACUGACGUUGAGGCUCGAAAGCGUGGGGAGCAAACAGGAUUAGAUACCCUGGUAGUCCACGCUGUAAACCGAGGGAUAAUAGGUGUGGGGGGUCUGACCCCCUCCGUGCCGCAGUUAACACAAUAAGUAUCCCACCUGGGGAGUACGAUCGCAAGGUUGAAACUCAAAGGAAUUGACGGGGGCCCGCACAAGCGGUGGAGUAUGUGGUUUAAUUCGAAGCAACGCGAAGAACCUUACCAGGCCUUGACAUCCCCACGGAUGCAGGGCAAUGCCUGCAGCCCCUCGGGGCGUGGGAGACAGGUGGUGCAUGGUUGUCGUCAGCUCGUGUCGUGAGAUGUUGGGUCAAGUCCCGCAACGAGCGCAACCCCUGCCCCUCGUAGCCAGCACGCGAUGGUGGGCACUCUAGGGAGACUCCCAGGGAUAACCUGGAGGAAGGCGGGGACGUCGUCAAAUCAUCAUUCCCCUUCUGGCUUGGGCUACACACGCGCUACAAUGGCGUAAACAAAGGGAAGCGAGCCCGCGAGGGGGAGCGAAUCCCAAAAAUAACGUCCCAGUUCGGUCU
This 1293-nucleotide ribosomal RNA is filed under the name uncultured bacterium. Its description in RNAcentral is "partial 16S ribosomal RNA". It matches the Rfam family "Bacterial small subunit ribosomal RNA", at positions 8 to 1299 of the family's 1533-position model. The record is from RNAcentral.